Long non-coding RNA from Beta vulgaris subsp. vulgaris (sugar beet), 670 nucleotides. RefSeq lists it as uncharacterized. The transcript is spliced from 2 exons. Lineage: Eukaryota; Viridiplantae; Streptophyta; Magnoliopsida; Caryophyllales; Amaranthaceae. The record is from RefSeq and is a predicted model, not a curated record.
UUAAGGGUCCUAAUCUCUCUGGGCCAUUUUCUAGGUUACUUUGUGCUAUAGAAGGGAAGUAUUUGGUCCAGGAGAGUUGUUAUUGCUUGGUGAAGGGAACUAAUGCUGCUUCUGAGCACGAUGGGAUCCAGUCUCUCAGCUUUAAUUGCUCUACACCAAAUGUUGCUGGGAGAGGAUUUAUUGAGGUAAUACCCUCACAUUUUUUCCUGGUUAAUUUACUAUUCAGUUGGCACAUUCCCCCGAGUGUCUCAUAAAUCAUUACAGUAACUUUCUUGUUCAAAUAGCAUGGUACAAACUAAACAAUUCUUUCAUAUUUUGAUCCGUUGUUCAUAUGUCGCUAAUGCUAUGCAGUUCUUUUGGUGUUUGAAUAAACUUUUGUUUAUAGUUGUAUUGCAGCCCAUAUGCUGGCAGCACCUGCAGCCCAUAUGCUGGCAGCACUAAAGUAGCUCACCGGCAACACCAGUAGGAGCUCACUGGCAGCACCAGCUCCCCGCCUGCCGCAAUUCGACAAGUGUAGUCCAUAAGUGACACUUUGGGCCUAAUUUUAGAGAACUAUUCCUUUUUUAGUUUAUGAUGUUAGACAGUUAUUUUAGGGAGAGAUUCAGACAUAAUUUUAAGUAAUAUGCUGAUAUUUUUGCUAUGUGGUGAAGUAAAAUCAUGUUUGCUUGCC